This 508-nucleotide ribosomal RNA is filed under the name Arabiconida tuerkayi. RNAcentral describes it as "Munida tuerkayi partial large subunit ribosomal RNA". It matches the Rfam family "Bacterial large subunit ribosomal RNA", at positions 1831 to 2589 of the family's 2925-position model. Lineage: Eukaryota; Metazoa; Arthropoda; Malacostraca; Decapoda; Munididae. The record is from RNAcentral.
GUCUGUAUGAAGUUAUAUGGAGUCUAACCUGCCCAUUGAUAAAUAUUAAAAGGCCGCGGUAUAUUAACUGUGCAAAGGUAGCAUAAUCAUUAGUUUUUUAAUUGAAGGCUUGUAUGAAGGGUUGGACAAAGAAUAUUCUGUCUUUAAUAUUAUUUUUGAAUUUUACUUUUAAGUGAAAAGGCUUAAAUAUAUUUAAAAGACGAUAAGACCCUAUAAAUCUUAAUAUUAUUUAGUUUUGUGUUUUAUUAUUUAUUUGUAAAAGAAGUAUAAAGUUGUGUAUAUUGUGUUGGGGUGAUGAGAAGUUAUAAGUUAAUUAUUCUAAAUUAAAAUCAAAGUUGUUUGUAAAAUAAUAGAUCCUUAUUUAAAGAUCAAGAGUUGAAGUUACUUUAGGGAUAACAGCGUUAUUUUUUUUGAGAGUUCUUAUCGAAAAAAGAGUUUGCGACCUCGAUGUUGAAUUAAAAUUUCUUUGGGGUGUAGCAGUCUCAAUAGGAGAGUCUGUUCGACUUUU